GUGUCAGCCGCCGCGGUAAGACGAACCGUGCGAACGUUGUUCGGAAUCACUGGGCUUAAAGGGCGCGUAGGCGGGUUUUCAAGUCCGGGGUGAAAGCCCCCAGCUCAACUGGGGAAGUGCCUUGGAUACUGAAGAUCUCGAGGGAGGUAGGGGCGUGCGGAACUUCCGGUGGAGCGGUGAAAUGCGUAGAUAUCGGAAGGAACACCGGUGGCGAAAGCGGCGCGCUGGACCUCUUCUGACGCUGAGGCGCGAAAGCCAGGGGAGCAAACGGGAUUAGAUACCCCCGUAGUCC
Molecule: ribosomal RNA, 292 nt
Filed under: uncultured bacterium
Lineage: Bacteria
Description: partial 16S ribosomal RNA
Rfam family: Bacterial small subunit ribosomal RNA
Source: RNAcentral